CGUAGGGUCCAAGCGUUGUCCGGAUUUAUUGGGCGUAAAGAGCUCGUAGGCGGCUCUGUAAGUCGGAUGUGAAAACUCGGGGCUCAACCCCGAGACGCCAUCCGAUACUGCUGUGGCUUGAGUCUGGUAGGGGAACACGGAAUUCCUGGUGUAGCGGUGAAAUGCGCAGAUAUCAGGAGGAACACCGAUGGCGAAGGCAGUGUUCUGGGCCAGUACUGACGCUGAGGAGCGAAAGCGUGGGGAGCAAACAGGAUUAGAUACCCUGGUAGUCCACGCCGUAAACGUUGGGCACUAGGUGUGGGUUCCUAUCGACGGAAUCCGUGCCGUAGCUAACGCAUUAAGUGCCCCGCCUGGGGAGUACGGCCGCAAGGCUA
RNAcentral lists this ribosomal RNA (374 nucleotides) under uncultured organism. RNAcentral describes it as "bacterial SSU rRNA". It matches the Rfam family "Bacterial small subunit ribosomal RNA", at positions 526 to 896 of the family's 1533-position model. The record is from RNAcentral.